Molecule: non-coding RNA, 178 nt
Filed under: Pseudomonadales bacterium
Lineage: Bacteria; Pseudomonadati; Pseudomonadota; Gammaproteobacteria; Pseudomonadales
Description: 6S RNA
Rfam family: 6S / SsrS RNA
About the family: E. coli 6S RNA was the first non coding RNA to be sequenced, but its function was unknown until recently.
Source: RNAcentral
GAUUCCCUGGGUUGUGCGCCAGUCAACACGUCCUAAACCCUUUACGCGCUAGCCAGGAGGUCUUUUUUCUCGGUGAAUGUGCAUGUCCGGACUCCGGAACGCCUGUAGCCAGUUAGGGGCCACCGCCUUGAACCGCUGGGUUCAAGGGCUUGUAUGACAGCGGCAAUUUGGGGAAUUU